Molecule: ribosomal RNA, 430 nt
Filed under: uncultured bacterium
Lineage: Bacteria
Description: bacterial SSU rRNA
Rfam family: Bacterial small subunit ribosomal RNA
Source: RNAcentral
GUAGGGAAUCUUCCGCAAUGGACGAAAGUCUGACGGAGCAACGCCGCGUGAGUGAAGAAGGUUUUCGGAUCGUAAAACUCUGUUGUAAGGGAAGAACAAGUACGUUAGUAACUGAACGUACCUUGACGGUACCUUACCAGAAAGCCACGGCUAACUACGUGCCAGCAGCCGCGGUAAUACGUAGGUGGCAAGCGUUAUCCGGAAUUAUUGGGCGUAAAGCGCGCGUAGGCGGUCUCUUAAGUCUGAUGUGAAAGCCCCCGGCUCAACCGGGGAGGGUCAUUGGAAACUGGGAGACUUGAGUGCAGAAGAGGAGAGUGGAAUUCCAUGUGUAGCGGUGAAAUGCGCAGAGAUAUGGAGGAACACCAGUGGCGAAGGCGGCUCUCUGGUCUGUAACUGACGCUGAGGUGCGAAAGCGUGGGGAUCAAACAGG